UAUUAAUUCCUGCGAUUUUGUAAAAAUUUGUGUAUAUAUAUAUAUACACACACACACUUCUAAACUUUCAAAAGUAUAAAAGAUUUUGAAAACUAAUUUUAUGUGAUAACUGAGAAGAUACAAUAAUAAAAACGUUUGUAGAAUUCAUAUUUGUAGAGCGCAACAAGGAGCUAAGAUUUAGGACAUAACCGCUAGUUUUCUGAGUGAUGCACAAGGUAUGGGGCGAUAAACUGUUGAUAUGUUACUACAGAACGUUGAUUCUAACUCUACUAAAUAAAUUCAGCGUUUAUGUUUUUUUUAUAUUAAAAGUGUUAGUUUCCUAAGAGCUAAAUUCACCGCAGCCCAAGUGACUUCAGCACCUCCCGCAGUAGAAUAGGCCUACACAUUACGCCGCUCGGAACGCUUCAGCGCCAGCGGGCAGAUCAAUGGAGUCACACUCUUAAGCAAUAUACCAUUUGUUAAAGCUUAAAAAAUAUGCAACUUCGUUGGUUUAAAUGAAUUUUACGUGGGGCCUUUCAUGUUUAUGUAAUUGUAUUUUUAUUUUCUUAAAUUAAAAAAAAAUUGGUUGUCUGUAAAGUCGGUUUAUGGACGAUAGUUUAACGUGACGUCAUAACAAAAUAUUGAUGAAAUGAUUGCAUACUUUUAUGAAUAAAAUUGAAUCAAUUUUAUUGAAUUAUCACUAUUUUGUAUUGAUACAAAGAAGGAGUGAAAUGAAAUCUACUACCUAUUUAAUGAAAAUAUAUUUAAUCUUUAUAAAUGUUUUUGUUUUUAACAAUUGAAGUUAAGUUCCUAGAACAUUUUGGGCUUCAUUAUGAGAUUAUACUAUAGAAAUUGCAUUUACAAAAUUUAUUUUUGUGGGUCAAUGCAAGAAAUUGUAACUUAGGCCUUAACUGCACGAUUUUGGUACAACGCACAGGGUUUGCAGCGGUAAACUUUUGAUAUGUUACUAAGAAAUAUUGAUACUGCUGCUGUACAAAAUUUCAGGUUUUAUGUAAUUUUCCAUAUGUUAAAAAACUUUGUUUCCUAAGACCAAAAUUUGUUCCAACCCGAGCGACUUAAGUACCCACACGGUAGGAUACACACUACGACGCUCGGAACCUUUCAGAGGCCCGGUCAAUUGAGUCAGAGAAUUAACCAAUAUACCAUUUUAAAGCUUUAAAAAUAUGCAACAACGUUUGUAAAAGUGAUUAUUACGGCGGACCAUAUAUCUUUAUGUUAAUCGUGUUUUUAAUUCUUUCGUUGUGAAUAGAAGACACUUCUUAUUACUUCAUCGAUUAAUAUCGUACCUUUAGUAUUAACAUUUUGAAAAUGUUUUAACAUAAAUGUGUAAAAUGGUGUUUCUAGAUUAUUUGGAUGCAUUUACGGAGAGUCUACGUUAAUAACUGCGUAUACGCGAAUCAUUUUAAUGAACUGCUGUAAGUCGCUGCCAUCUAGGACUUAACUGCACGUUUUCGGUGAUACGUACAAGGUCUACAGCAGUAAACUUUCGGUAUGUUAUUAAGCAUAGUAGGCUCUACCACUGUGCAAAAAUUCAGCUUUGGGCAAAUUUUUCACAGAUUGAAAGCUUUGUUUCGUGGACGACUCGGGGUGCUCGCCUCGCAACAAGAACCGGGGGCGACAGCUGCAGGCACUCUGGAGCCGGGGCGCCCGCCCGGGCUGUGUGCCUGCGGGGAGGGCGUAGAGGCAGUCAGUCACGCCCUGGAGGUUUCCAAUACAGGAGCUCUUUGUUGGGAAUAUAGUGAAUACCAACUCGCGGACAAUUCGGCGGAAGUCGCUGUUGUAUCGUCGGCCCUGAGAAGAUCAGUGGAAGCCGAUUUUUCAAGUCGAUAAUGGGAAAGGAACGAGAAUAUUAUAAUAAUACAAAUUUGACAAAAAGUUGCGUGUAAAAUGUUACACUACCAAAGCGUUGUGCUCUUAUUUAUGACAACUUGGUAUUGUUCUACGUGGUGAGAACAAAACAUGCAACACGCUUUGUUGCUGGUAAGACGAGAGUCGUAGCGCCAAGGUGCCAUCCUUAAGGACGCGGUUCAGGUGUAUAAUACAUUUUCUGCCAUUGCGAUAGUUCACUGUUAUUCUAUUUGAAAACGGGAAAACUUCUAUUGCUGCCUAUUCGAAGACUUAACUUUGCUAUUGCAAUUAAAGCUAACGAUAAUUAGAUAAAAUAACUUUUAACUCUAAAAAUAGGAGCUAGAGUAUGAGUCAAAAUGCUGUCAAUCAGUGUUGUUAUGUAACAGAUACCUAACAUUUUAUUCAUACAUGAUAAUCAAAAUAUGUAGUUUCAUUGUUUUUCUAAAGUAUUAUCCCUAAAGUCUCCUACAGAUACAAUUGGAUCAUAGUGCUCCAUUAAUGAGGAAAUAAUUAUUUUCUUUAUUUUGGUGAAUACAUGUGAUGACAAAAUUAAAAUUUUUAAGUGAAAUAAGUAUAAAUACUGCUAAGAGUAAAAGAAGUUUUAUGGAUUACUUAGAUGCUUUGUGCGUUUCCUUUUUUUUCUUAACCUAACUAAAACCAAAUGUAUUUGGGAGGGGUCUGGGUUAGGGAGAGACCUAGGUCCGUCUCAGGCCGAAGCCUAUACGCUCUAAUCAUGCAGGGGUUAGCCAUGCAGGAGAGGUCGCAUGCAUCAUGUGCUAGGAGGGAAUUGGUCAGCCAUGGCCACCAUUAGUGCCAUGACAAACUCCCCUCACUGACUACUCUAGACUAACACUAGAUAAGGUGGGCCCAGGUGAAGCCUCUAUUGACAGAGGGAAAACCCUGGGUUCAUUCAUGCUGGAUGCAAAAUUAAUGUAUUAAUUAACAAGCAGGUUGGUUACGGGAACAGAAGGGUUGUUCUGGAAGAAGAGUUGGACAGAGUAAAAAAGCACUACUAAGCGAAGGUGGUGAGCUUGGACUGUUUGGUCCGUGUUCCCGCCAUGAUGCCAGCCAGCACACAUUCUUAAACUAGAAAUAUCAGUAUGAAUGUGUACAUGUGUAUGGGAUUAUUCUUGGGCGCUUCGCCAUUCAAGGUCUCAGGAGACCAAAAAAGUGGAAAAUCAGACGAUAAUUCGAGCCCUGCUGGGCCGAAACACGACAGUAUUUUUCGCCUACACGGAAGGACCUACAGGGAGGGCUGCGUCGGUGUUGGGCGUUGUAUGUCAAUUAGAACCAUAUUAUACUUAAUAAUACUUAAUACUAUGAGCUGCCAGCUUAGGAUUGCAAGAACUGUGCUUUUUCGCUCCGCGCGCAUUGGCUGGCAGUCUGCGCGGCCAAUCACGCGCGACUAUGGCGGCCGGUGGGCAAGGAGCGAUUUCGGCCGCUUAUAUUUUUGUCUUACGUCCGGAUCAAAAUUUCCGAGCGAUAAAACAUGUGGGUUUUAACUAUUUACGCAUUUAUCGUAAAAUGUUUCUGGGGUUCGAAUGUAAAAGUCUUGCAAAGUUUCCGUGUCCGUUUCACAAUGCAAGGCUUCUGUAGGGUAAUACAUUGGAGCGUCUGUAGCUAUUCGAAUACAUUUAUUCUGAAUUCGCUGCAGCUUUAAUAAAUGUGUUUUCGCAGUGGUUGCCCAGACUGGGGCUGCGUACGUAAUAAUAGGGUGAAUCAGUGUUUUGUAGAGCACAGUAAACCGUUCGUUACUGUGCCUCCACAUCGCCUGCUCAUUACUGGAUAUAGUGAGCUUAGUCUAACCUCAGCUUGAAUUCUCUAGGCAUCUAUAUGAUGGUGCCAGAGAAGCUUCCUGUCCAUGUGGACGCCUAGAUAUUUUACGACGUCCUUGUGUGGGAUUUGUUCGCCAAACAAACGUAUUUAUGGCCUGUGUUCUACAGGUGGAAGAUUUCCGCGAGUAAACACAAUAGCUUCGGACAUCGUUGUGUUCACUUUGCUAAGCCAGGUCGUACACCAUUGCUAGCACACAGCUAAUGCAUCCGUUUUUUUUCCUAGCCUAAUUUAAUCUAAGCUAAUGCAGUCUGGUAGUGGCUAGGUGAAGUGUGUAUGAUCUGCUAUACAGAAACGUGUCGUUUGCAUAGCACAUAGCAGCCUAACUUCACUAGGCGGUGUUCGGGGCGUGGCAAAUCUCUAGAAGGCUAUAUAUGUUAAAUAGAACAGGGCCUAGAAUACUGCCCUGUGGUACGCCUGCUCUUAUUUGUUUGAUGUCAGACAUAGUUCUUUAAGUUGAUACUGUAAACGUUCUGUCUUCUAGGUAGGACGCGACUAGCUUGGUAUAGCAGACCAGGAAAUUUGUUUGAUAUAGUUUGUAUAGAUUAGCCCCGCGUUAUAAACUCUGUCGAAGGCUUUUUCUACGUCUAAAAACGUCGCAACUACAUAAUCUUUUACGUUGAAGGCGCUUGUUAUCUCUUCAGUGAGGCGUAUGAGUUGGUGCACUGUCAAGUGAUUACUGCGAAAAAUCGAAUGGCCUAAGUGUACAGGCCUGCCCGAUCCGCGGACGAAUAUUUUCACGUUCUGCGCGCAUACUUUUCGUUGGUGAUACUGCCUACGAGCGCGGGUUUGAAUGGUAGUUUGAUGAUAUGAAUUGACAAACUGCUAGACUGUGUGUAAUAUAGUUACCCAAAUAACACUAAAACAACAAAAAUGAAUUAAAUAAUAAAUAACCAUCUCUUUUAAAACUAUAACGUGUCAGAACUGAGUGUUAUUGUGCAAACAAAGACUAAUUUUAGCAAAGAUUAUUGCACGAAGUAAGGGAGGUAGGGUUAUAUGAAUGGUCAAAAUAAGUUUUUAUAGCAACUGAUCUUGAGAAAAUGAUUUUUUUGUUUGUGUAGGCCUCAACUUUGACAGCUGAGUAAAGUUUAUUUAAACAAAGGCACAGCAUUUCAAUAAGUGUUUUAUUUUUUAAUGAAUUUCUGAAUUAUAACCUUGUCACAAAUUUUUAUGUAGGAUACAUACAGAUGCAAGUUUAUUAUAAACUGAACUAUUAGUAUUAAUGUUUAUACGUUUCAUUUAGAAAAUAAAUUUAGCUCAUAUUGUUACAUGAAUUAAUAUAUCUGAUACGCUUACUUGCGUUAUUAAAAUAACUUGCAUUAACUUCGGAACAAUUGUAACGUGUCCCAAAUUUUCGGUUGUAAACGCAAACCAAAUAUUUUCAUUUAAUUAUAUUAUUAAUUGAUGUCAUGUUAUGUUGAUAGAACUAACAAAAAACGGCGAAAUAUAAAUUCAAAUUUUUGAUAUUCGUGCUUUAUUGUUUGGCUAUUUAUUUUGGCAAUUUUUCAUAGUUUAAGCACUUAUGAAAAUAUUUACAUAAAAUUCUUAUAAAUGUUUUUUGAGAUUCUUUAAUUAUGUGUGAUGAUUCUGCUAAUAUUUGUUGAGAUAAUUGAGGUAGAUUACCGGUAUUUUACCAUUGGUUUUGUAUUUUGUAUUACGUUAGCUACUUUUAAAAUACUUUUAAGUCAUUUGGAUGGUUGGUUAAGUUUUGUUAGCUUAAUUUAAAACAUUGUUUAAUCGUGUGAAUGGCUGGAGGGAUAAGGUAAUUUAAUUUCGAACACUGUUAAAUUAUUUGAAUGAUUGGUUGUAUACAAUAUUCAUUUAAAAUACUGUAUAUUGGUGUAAAUGUUUGGGUAAGUUACGUUAGCCACAUUAAAAAUACUUAACGGCGUUCUUCGGGAUAGGUGUUAUUCAAAAAACCAUUAAAUGUUCUUAAUGGAGAACCUUCUCUAGAAAAUUAGCAUUACUUGAAAUAGGGAUAACAAUCUGCAGGUAGAGAAGUAAAGAUUGUGUUAGGUAAGUUCCGGGAAGAGGAGUGGCAGAUUUAGCAUUUAAAACUGCAGAAUAAAAAGUACGAAUUUUUGAAAAAUUUAAAUAUUUAAGCUUUGUGAAACGAUUAAUAACCAUGCAACAUUUUUAAAUAAUCAAUAUUAAUAUUACAAGAGUGACAUAUUUUUAAUUAUAUAAUCUUGAUUUUUGAAAUAAAUGCUUUUUUUUUCGGAUGAGGUUGUACUAACCAGCGAAAUGAUUUUUUUUCCGUAUCUAAACUACCGCGUUAUUAUUUUCCUGCCUAGUAUUUUGUUAGUACAAUAUAUAGUACACAAUAUAUAGUGCACAAAAUAAUUUAUUACGGUUGUGGCAAACAACAGUUAACUGGUGUCACUGCUACAAAAGUUUAACAUUAUUUAGCCAAACUUGUGUUGUGAAUGUAUUACACUGAAAUAAAUAAUAAAAUCACUUCAGGCUAUAUAAAAAAAAAGAUUGUCAAAAUUAAAUGAUAUCGUAGCUUUCGUCCAUUCGAAACCUAAAUUGGGCGGAGACAAAACAAAAUACAGAAAAAAACUUAUUUUGUAAUAAAUGAGGCAAUAAAAUUAGUUAUAGGUAUCUAAUUUCUUAAUUUAUUUACUUGAAUGAAAAUAAAUUUGCCAUUAGAAUCAUCAUUUGUUGAUAACCGCCGUUCUAACAAAAUGUAAAACUCAGAUUAACGUAUAUUUCCGUAUACAUAGCCUACUUUAGCAAAAUAUCUCCAGAGUGACGUCACAAAUUGCUAGCCAGUGAAAGAGAAAGGUGCGCAAAAGGAUACAUAUAUAACUUCACGAUGAUUCACCCGUUAUGUUCACAGUUGACAGAACAGAAGAACGAAUGAAUAUCAAGCAAUGAUUUGUGUAACAUUUUCUUAAGUGUUAUGAGUACGUAAUAAAUAUUCUCGCAGAAACUGUAUGGUGUUAUGUAGGCUGAAGUAUCUAUUUAUUCGAUUUUUUAUUUAUUAGAAAACAAUUUGAUCCGAUUUCCGCAUAGUAGACGCAGCGUCGCACUGCGUGGCUGCGACUGGUUGAUAAUCGCUGGCUCCUCUGUGACAUUGUGGGCAUUGGUGAAUCAAGCUUGUCGUGAAUGUCAGUGCGCUUGCAAACUGACUCCCCUGCUGCAGCUCAUACACCGGUCGUCACUGGAUUCUGAUGUACUUUGUAAUAAUUAAGAUAGUUUCUGAACCAGAACAGUUGAUAAGCUACGGUCCUGAAUCAAAAAAGGUAAAUUUAAAAUGUGUCGUAACUUUAUCUUUGAGCCUCAUUUAGAAAAUGUUAACAUACUCACCUUUCAUUGUUAGGUACAUAUUUUUUUACACAAUCCCGCAUAACCCUGCAAGUUAUAAAAAUUCUUCCAAUGUAUGAAUUUCCCAAUUACAUACAUAUUGAUAAUGCCGAAUGUGGACUUUAUAUAUAUAUACACAUGCAUACUUACACAUAUAUGUAUAAUAAUUGAAAGAAAAUGUUUGCUUCAAUGUCUCCCCUAUAAAUAAUAAAUGAAUUACCUAUAUGAUUAAAUAUCCGUGUUCUUAGUGGAUAUAACUAGGAAAAUCUGCAUAAUUUGUAUGUAUUUUGGUAGUUAUUAAAAAAGUACAAUUAAACUUACAAUAUUAUGAAUUGUCAUACCUCUAAUGUUAAAUUUUACUCUUGUACCGAUAGCACACUGUAUCUAAGUAACAUAAUUAAGAUGUCACAGAUAUAAUAUUUAAUACUUACUAAUUUUAUUCGACAAUGUGUUUCCGAUUCAUUUGACUUCUUGCAAAUGGGUUAUAAAUUAAGUAUAACUCCAGAGACGUACCAAAUUAGGUUACCUUGAGAAACUCAUGACGUCAGCGUGUAUGGUUUAUGUGUUAGGGAAAAUUUAUUCAAAUACUGUGUAUUAAAAAAGUGCAUGACAUGGUA
Long non-coding RNA from Bacillus rossius redtenbacheri, 7607 nucleotides. RefSeq lists it as uncharacterized. NCBI's taxonomy places the organism in Eukaryota, Metazoa, Arthropoda, Insecta, Phasmatodea, Bacillidae. The record is from RefSeq and is a predicted model, not a curated record. The transcript has 2 exons.